CAAGUCGAGCGAAUCUGAGGGAGCUNGCUCCCAAAGAUUAGCGGCGGACGGGUGAGUAACACGNGGGCAACCUGCCUGUAAGACUGGGAUAACUCCGGGAAACCGGGGCUAAUACCGGAUAAUAUCUAUUUAUACAUAUAAUUAGAUUGAAAGAUGGUUCUGCUAUCACUUACAGAUGGGCCCGCGGCGCAUUAGCUAGUUGGUGAGGUAACGGCUCACCAAGGCGACGAUGCGUAGCCGACCUGAGAGGGUGAUCGGCCACACUGGGACUGAGACACGGCCCAGACUCCUACGGGAGGCAGCAGUAGGGAAUCUUCCGCAAUGGACNAAAGUCUGACGGAGCAACGCCGCGUGAGUGAUGAAGGUUUUCNGAUCGNAAAACUCUGUUGUUAGGGAAGAAC
This 401-nucleotide ribosomal RNA is filed under the name Cytobacillus kochii. Its description in RNAcentral is "bacterial SSU rRNA". It matches the Rfam family "Bacterial small subunit ribosomal RNA", at positions 58 to 450 of the family's 1533-position model. Lineage: Bacteria; Bacillati; Bacillota; Bacilli; Caryophanales; Bacillaceae. The record is from RNAcentral.